This 859-nucleotide long non-coding RNA is filed under the name Neodiprion pinetum (white pine sawfly). RNAcentral describes it as "uncharacterized LOC124216253". Lineage: Eukaryota; Metazoa; Arthropoda; Insecta; Hymenoptera; Diprionidae. The record is from RNAcentral.
AAAUGUUGGGUGCUUGGAAGAAACGCAGCAGGUGAUACGGCCAAAAUAGUGACAUCUCUAAUAUUCACUGUUAUCUGCCUAUUUAAUUUAUCACUCGUACAAAGAUCAUCGCCACUUUCAAGCAACUACCCUAGAAAACUCGUACGCUUGGCACAACACUGGUCCAGGAAAAUGCCAAUUGCAUCUGCCAAGCUUGCAACGCUUGGGAAUUUCACUGGGCCAUCGUUGAAUGAGUACUGGGGCCAUAAGCACGGCCCAACCGUUGUCAAUACAUCGGUCAACGAUUGUAUCAUGCCAAUGGUUAAGAAACAGUCGAGUCAGCGUUAAUAAUGUUAAUGGGCCAACGCUUGACAAUAUGGUUGGCCAUUAGUUAACCAGCAUCGUUUUGAAUACCGUUAUCACAUUAUGUCAAUCCUCGUGCCGAUUGCUGUGGAGAAUGUCUGCCGGUUAUAAAGAUGAAAAAAAAUUAUCCCACAAUGCGAUAAAUUAGAUUUUAUUUUGGUAACAAGGGAUAUAACCAUUAUAAUUAUCGUUCUCAUAAUAAAUAUUUAUGGUUAAACAAAGUUUAAUAUUUAAAGAGAAGUAAUGAGCAAUGCAACGCCUUAGUGACAUGACGAUUUUGCAGCCGAGGACGAGGAGGAUUCUCUAUUUCUUCGAUACUUGGAACAGAAAGGCGAAGGGCUCGGCCACCAUCUCUGUCUCCUGCGCCUGCGAGCCAGCGACUCACGUUCGAAACCAGCGUUUGGAUAUUGGGCACAUCGUUGGCAAAUCUUGACAGGAACACAUCUGUAAAUGUAAAAUUGUUAAUAGUUGUUAAUUCUUGUGUUCUUAUGACAAUGAAUUCAAUUGUGAAGUUAGU